AGGUCGAUGAGGUUGGGCCCAGUGGGUGGCGCCUAUGACGACGAUACAAGGAUCUAAUAAGAUCCGAGAGAUAGAGAGAGGGCUUCGGGAAGGGAGAGAGAGAGAAAGACCUGAUUUUUUUUCCUCAGUCCUACUUUUGUCCUUGUAUGGCCGUGCUUUGUGUUUCUUUUUGCUCCCUUUGUUCGAUUUCGUCCCUGUCUGAGCAAAAUAUAUUUCUCUCUGAUUUUUGCAAGAACCCAGAAAACCUAGAAAGCAUGAGGAGGAAGAAAGUCUACAACUGAACCAAAAAAAAAAGAGUUUUCCUAAUUGGAAAUGAAGCAAUAACCCUUCAUUUAUUUUUGCUCAAAACAUCGAUUCGAAGUUUUUGUUGUUGUUGCGUUUGGUUGGACUUUCUUCCUCGGUUACCCACUGGUUAAGAGAAAGCGGAGGUAAUGGGAAGGGAAUGAAGGUUUGGUACUUUGAAUGUUACGUUGUCGUUUUGCUGGGAUUUUAGAUGACGGGAGAUGUGGAUUUCAAAUUCAAAACUUCUCUGACUUUUUCUUGGCAGCCAAACACACCGUGAAAGUUUCGUUAUAUUUUUCGAACACCCUGAUUUCUUUGCACAUUUUUUUAUGUUUAUUGCGACGUGCAUUAGUUUUCCGAUAUAUUAACAAGAUGAGAUGAAAGGUUUUGGAUUUUGCUUUUUGCUUUUUAUGUGCUAUAGUUUUCGGGUCAGAUCCUGCUACGUAUACACAAAUGAUACUGCAUUAGAUAAUGUUAAGGAUUGUAUGUUUCAAAUUAUUAUUUUCCUUCCAAAAAAGUUCCCCUUUGAGGUUCUCUUUUUUUUCCCUUCUUCUUAUGGCUUUGAAUUUGGCCCUUUAGUUUUGGAAAUGCUAAGAGAAAGAAAUAGAAAUGUCCUAAAUGCUAAAAUAUUGAACUCUGGCUUUUUUUUUUUUUUUUUUUUUUGUUCAAAGGGAAUUCCUUUCUAGAAAUCAAAUGUUUUAUUAUUUAUGUUUUAAAAUAGAGAAAAGUUUUGGUUAGUCAAAAGGGUUAUGAUAGGCUCCUGGAUUGUUAUUUUUAGUAGUCUGUUAUUUUUUUUUCCCCUCUCAACGCUUCUGUAAUUAUAUAAUCAUCACCAGCUUGCUCAUAUGAUCUGAAUUGAUGUAUAGUUCCCUGGGGGAGAUGAUAUAUGGCUGUGGUGACUUGAUUUUUUCAUCACACAUUAUUUUUACGUUAUUA
This is a long non-coding RNA of Juglans microcarpa x Juglans regia, 1218 nucleotides long. RefSeq lists it as uncharacterized. Lineage: Eukaryota; Viridiplantae; Streptophyta; Magnoliopsida; Fagales; Juglandaceae. The record is from RefSeq and is a predicted model, not a curated record. The transcript is spliced from 2 exons.